UACAGAGGGUGCAAGCGUUAAUCGGAAUUACUGGGCGUAAAGCGUGCGCAGGCGGCUUUGCAAGACAGAUGUGAAAUCCCCGGGCUUAACAUGGGAACUGCAUUUGUGACUGCAUGGCUGGAGUGCGGCAGAGGGGGAUGGAAUUCCGCGUGUAGCAGUGAAAUGCGUAGAUAUGCGGAGGAACACCGAUGGCGAAGGCAAUCCCCUGGGCCUGCACUGACGCUCAUGCACGAAAGCGUGGGGAGCAAACAGG
This 253-nucleotide ribosomal RNA is filed under the name uncultured bacterium. Its description in RNAcentral is "partial 16S ribosomal RNA". It matches the Rfam family "Bacterial small subunit ribosomal RNA", at positions 524 to 776 of the family's 1533-position model. The record is from RNAcentral.